CAAAUGAAUUGACGGAACCCGCACAAGCGGUGGAGUAUGUUGUUUAAUUCGAAGAUACACGAAGAACCUUACCAGGUCUUGACAUCCCGAUGCUAUUUCUAGAGAUAGAAAGUUACUUCGGUACAUCGGUGACAGGUGGUGCAUGGUUGUCGUCAGCUCGUGUCGUGAGAUGUUGGGUUAAGUCCCGCAACGAGCGCAACCCCUAUUGUUAGUUGCCAUCAUUCAGUUGGGCACUCUAGCGAGACUGCCGGUAAUAAACCGGAGGAAGGUGGGGAUGACGUCAAAUCAUCAUGCCCCUUAUGACCUGGGCUACACACGUGCUACAAUGGUUGGUACAACGAGUUACGAGUCGGUGACGGCGAGCUAAUCUCUUAAAGCCAAUCUCAGUUCGGAUUGUAGGCUGCAACUCGCCUACAUGAAGUCGGAAUCGCUAGUAAUCGCGGAUCAGCACGCCGCGGUGAAUACGUUCCCGGGCCUU
RNAcentral lists this ribosomal RNA (478 nucleotides) under uncultured Streptococcus sp. RNAcentral describes it as "bacterial SSU rRNA". It matches the Rfam family "Bacterial small subunit ribosomal RNA", at positions 902 to 1382 of the family's 1533-position model. The record is from RNAcentral. Lineage: Bacteria; Bacillati; Bacillota; Bacilli; Lactobacillales; Streptococcaceae.